UAGGGAAUCUUCCGCAAUGGACGCAAGUCUGACGGAGCAACGCCGCGUGAGUGAAGAAGGAUUUCGGUUCGUAAAACUCUGUUGUUAGGGAAGAACAAAUGUGUAAGUAACUAUGCACGUCUUGACGGUACCUAAUCAGAAAGCCACGGCUAACUACGUGCCAGCAGCCGCGGUAAUACGUAGGUGGCAAGCGUUAUCCGGAAUUAUUGGGCGUAAAGCGCGCGUAGGCGGUUUUUUAAGUCUGAUGUGAAAGCCCACGGCUCAACCGUGGAGGGUCAUUGGAAACUGGAAAACUUGAGUGCAGAAGAGGAAAGUGGAAUUCCAUGUGUAGCGGUGAAAUGCGCAGAGAUAUGGAGGAACACCAGUGGCGAAGGCGACUUUCUGGUCUGUAACUGACGCUGAUGUGCGAAAGCGUGGGAAUCAAACAGG
This 429-nucleotide ribosomal RNA is filed under the name Bacteroidota bacterium. RNAcentral describes it as "Bacteroidetes bacterium partial 16S ribosomal RNA". It matches the Rfam family "Bacterial small subunit ribosomal RNA", at positions 355 to 776 of the family's 1533-position model. Lineage: Bacteria; Pseudomonadati; Bacteroidota. The record is from RNAcentral.